CCUUCGUGUGUCGAGGGCCCAACACAAGUGGUGUAUCAACUGCACCACUCAGCUUGGUUUUAUCAGCAAACUUGCUGAGGGUGCACUCAAUCUCAGUAUCCAUGUCACUGAUAAAUAAGGAUGUGAUGUGAGACCAUAUCAAAGGCCUUGCAAAAGUCCAUGUGGAUGAUGUCGGUCACUUUUCCUUUUCCACUGAUGCUGUCACUCCAUCAUAAAAGGGCACAGCAUUGGUCAGGUAUGAUCUGCCCUUGAUGAAGACAUGCUAGCUUUAUUGGAUCACCUCCCUUGACUUGCACGUGCCUUAACAUAGCUUCCAUGAGGAUCUGCUCCAUGAUCUUCCAUGCACAGAGGUGAGGCUCACUGGCCUGUAGUUCCAUGGGUUUUCUUUUCUUCCUUUCUUAAAAAUGAGAGUGGUGUUUCCCUUUUUCAAGUCACCAGCAACUUCAGUUGACAUCCAUGACUUUUAAUAUGAUGGAGGGUGGCUUGGCAACUUCGUACUUUCCUCUUUAUUUUCUUUUAAUUCACUUAGUUCUGUUGCAAGGAAUCAUCUGUCCUCUUUAGCUAAUUAUUUCAACAAGUAAUAGGAAACUGAAGCCAGUGGAACAUGAGCUUGCCAUUAUCCUUAGUCAUUGGCUUUCAUGGUAUUGCAUAUAGAUAUUUCACAGCUUCUUGGUUUUUCUCCUUUUUUUAAUAAAGAGCUUUCUAGCAUAGGUGAGCCUGAUCCACUGUGCUACCUAAAAGAUGGAUUCUGUUAUCUUUUUUGGCCUUCUCUACGUUGAUGUUCAUGUCUCUGUUGUAUCUUGAGUGAGCUCACUGUAAAUUUAUUCAGCUAAUGCCACCGCAAAUGCUUGUCUAGACACUUGGCAAACGCUUGUGGUGUGUAUUCAGACUCAUCCGAGUAUAAGCUGUGAGCCCACGUGUCCUGGAACAAAUGUUUCAGGCUAUCAUUUAUAUGAUGAUAGUUAAUUUAAAUUGACACAAUUCUGAAUUGUCGUGGAUGUGCUAAUCCCCAGCUGUGGGUGCCCUUGAGGGAAAGCCUGUGCUACUGCCGGACCUUUGUUUUCUGCAAUGUGCUCUGGGAGGUGAUGGCUCCUUAGACAGUGGGGGGGUUAACAUCACUGAGAACUGUGUGUGUCUCUCACGAUUCGAAAAAGUACACAUUUCGGUUGAUUCAAUAAGCCUACUGAAAAUUUGAAGGCUGCAGGAGACAGUUCCUAGAAUGAAACUUUUUUUUUUUUUCUAGAUGGAGCCUCUUAGUAUGGCUGAAUGACUGCUGCAACCUUUCUGUUGCUUACAGCACACGUAUUUGUCUCCAGUACUACUGUAGAAGGGGAUAUGCUAUUUGAAAAGAUAUUUUUACCACAUUGCCUUAAAUCUUGUUGUAUUUUUUUUUCUGUGGUAAUACGAAGGUGUAAAAUUGAUUUCAGGAACAUGGAUUUGCUUAUUUAUUUAUUUAUUUAUUUAUACCUUAAAAGAUGUGCAUUCUCCAGUCUUCUUAUCUAUUUUGUUGAUUUGUCCUACACCCAUGGAAACACAUUUCUGAAAGCUGAAUAGAAGCGUAUCACUACAGUUGAAUGCUUUCUAUGGAUAUAUCCACCAUGUUUAAUGUUAAGCUGGAGUAUUAGUUUGUGUUGCAUAUUUUCUCAAUAGGUGAGUUUGUCUACAUGACAUAAAACAUCAAAAUAAUUUCUUUUGUGGGGUGGUUUUUUUUUUUUUUUUUGUAUUUGAGGGAAUUAUUAUGAGUUGUUCUUUCCUUUAAAUAAUACGACAAUGAACAAUAAGAAUCCACAAAGAGAAAAAUUUGUUGAUAUGAAGAAUGUCAUCUUUCUAAAACCUAAAUAGUGUUCCCUUGCUUCUGUCCCAGUUUUAUUCAUCUCAGAUGUGAUGCAAAGUCAUAACAGCUGAGGUGGGGAAUGGGACAGAAAGCCAUUGAGGGCAGCAGCUUUCUGGUGCCUUUCCUUAACUCUGUCAUGAUGCUGGUGGAGGGAAACCUCUUUUAGAAUUGAUUUACUCUUACUUGCAUUUUGUUCUGACUACAUUCUCCUGUGUAAAACCAGGAGAUCAACUUAAUCAAAGAAAUAAAGCUUACCUUGUAACAGAGCAGCUGUGUAACAGAGAAUGGCUUUCUCUCAACCAUUGCCUGACUGAUCUUCUGGAGCCUUCUCAACAGCUCCUCAUCUUCCCUCUACCAGAACUUCUCCCUGCUUACCCCUCUGAUAUUUUCUAUGAUGUCAUCUCAGGCUGCAGGUAGUGGGACGUUAUUUUCACAUCCUGUCACCUUCAAAAAGAUUGGAGUUGCCUGGAUUACAGAUCCUGUGCGUGGAAAGAUGGUAAAUUACACAGAAACCCUGCAGGAUCCCAGGAAAAAAUGAAGCAAACAAGGACAACAGGAUGCAGAAGCUGUGUGCAAUACAUCAUCCAAGAGCAAAUGCUUGACUGCAGCUAUUUCUCACAUGAAAGGUCCGUGCAACAAUUCCCGUUUUAGGCAAAGCCAAAUCCUUACACAGAAAAAAGUUAGGGAUAGAAUUUAAUAAGAACAUAGGACAGAUUGUGAUGAUCAGGUACAAGUCUCAAGCAUGCUGGCCAGCAAUAUGUUUAUUAUGAAAUGAGAAAACUCACUGACCUUUGUUGAAUAGGAAGACAUGGCAGGUUGAUUUGUAGACAGAAAGGACAAUCUGCAGAAAAGUGAAUAAGAACAGGGAAGAGACCAUAUGGUAGAAGAGAGAGUGGGCCAUGGAACUCAUUGACUCCUUUGAAGAGAGAUGAUAAAAAGCAGAGUUGGAAAAUGGGGUGGCAUGGGAGGAGGGAAUCAUGGAAUCAUAGGAUCAUUAAGGUUGGAAAAAAUAACUAAGAUCAUCUAGUCCAACCACCAACCCAUCACCAUCAUGCCCACUAACCCAUGUCCCUCAGAGCUACAUCUACACAUUUCUUGAACACUUCCAGGGGCGGCAGUGAGUCCAGCACCUCCCUGGGCAGCCUGUUCCAAUGCUUCACCAGUCAUUCUGAGAAUAAAUCUUUCCUAACAUCCAACCUGAGCCACCCCUAGUGCAACUUGAGACCAUUCUUUCUUGUCCUAUUGCUGUUACCUGGGAAAAGAGGCAAACAUCCACCUCACCACAUCCUCCUUUCAGGUGUAAGAAAAAGCAGGGAUAAAUUUGGCACAAAUAGAUUGGAUACUAAAGAUGUUUCUGAUCAAGAGUAUGGUGAGAGUCCAAAAUGUGCUCCCCAAAAGUAUUUUUGGCCAAAUCUGCAAUAACAGAUAGUGAGAUUUUAAAAGCAGCUUGGUCAAGGGUAAGUGAAUAUGGAUGCUCACUGUCUAGCAGUCUCUGCAGGGUCUGUCACCCGUCUCCAACUUGUGAUUUGCCUGCAGUUUGGUACCUAAUUAUUGUGCCAAAACAUCCAAAUUCAGCAAUAAGUUGUUUAUCUUUCUUUCCUAAAUAAACAGCAAAUAUAGAGCAGAACUUUUGUUUCAAACUGCUGUUUGUUUUCAGUGUCUUCAUAAUAUUUUUACUUAAAAAACCAAAAAAUACAAAAAUACAAAAAAAAAAAAAAAACAGCAAGGGACUGAAGUGUAAAGGGAAAUAUUUUUUUCCCGAAAUUUUGAAGUUUCAACCUCUUUUUUUGCUGCUUAAAGCUGGAAAGAAGAAACAGUAAGAGAGAUUUAUCUUUUCCCCUUUUCUUUCUUUCCUCUAAAAAACACAAACAGAAAAUUUGAUAGAGUAUUCCUGUAAUUUCCUGAGGUACUGGAAGCCCAAGUGUUGAUUCCCACUGAAAAGUAGACUUGACUGACAUUUUCUUUAACUAAACAUGUGUCUUAGUCAUAAUGUUAAAAAAAAAUGACUGGACAAAACUGUCUUGUAGGCUAUUGUACAAUACCUAGGAACCUUAAAGCAACCUACCUUAAAACAGAAAGCUUCAACCUGAAUGAAAUGGAAGAUAUUUGCAUUUAGACCCAACCCAAGCUGGGCGUAUGAAGGAGAGUGAAGUCCUGAAAAACAUAAAACAUUUUAAAAAUGUUAAUAGUAUUAAAAAAAAAAUCCUAAAUACAUUUGAAUAAUUAAAUAUUUAUUUUUCCUUAGCAUAAAAAAAAUGCAUGAAAGUUGUCUCGUCCCACUUGGUUGGUUGUGAGAAAGGUGAAUCUUUGGAAUCUCACAGAAUAAAGUACCCCUUGCUCUCCAGGAGUCACUGGGGCAAUGGAGUCAGACCAUGACUCAAAGGAACAAUACAAGACAAUUUACUGAGCUUUCUUAAAGCAACUAAUCAACUACUUUGAGGCAAAAAUAGGCAAUUUUCUAACAACGGUUAAUACCAUCAUGGAUAACAUACUUGGCAUAGGUGUUAUUUCCUUUGCUUUAAAGCUAAUUUAGGCAACAGCUGGUAAAGAAAAAUGAGUUAACGAAGAUUGAGAGAAAGG
Long non-coding RNA from Gallus gallus (chicken), 4414 nucleotides. RefSeq lists it as uncharacterized. The transcript has 2 exons. NCBI's taxonomy places the organism in Eukaryota, Metazoa, Chordata, Aves, Galliformes, Phasianidae. The record is from RefSeq and is a predicted model, not a curated record.